Molecule: ribosomal RNA, 167 nt
Filed under: uncultured Sphingomonas sp.
Lineage: Bacteria; Pseudomonadati; Pseudomonadota; Alphaproteobacteria; Sphingomonadales; Sphingomonadaceae
Description: partial 16S ribosomal RNA
Rfam family: Bacterial small subunit ribosomal RNA
Source: RNAcentral
CCUACGGGAGGCAGCAGUGGGGAAUCUUAGACAAUGGGGGCGAACCCUGAUCUAGCCAUGCCGCGUGAGUGAUGAAGGCCUUAGGGUUGUAAAGCUCUUUUACCCGGGAUGAUAAUGACAGUACCGGGAGAAUAAGCUCCGGCUAACUCCGUGCCAGCAGCCGCGGU